RNAcentral lists this unclassified non-coding RNA (1412 nucleotides) under Diuraphis noxia (Russian wheat aphid). RNAcentral's name for it is "tropomodulin, transcript variant X1". The record is from RNAcentral. Lineage: Eukaryota; Metazoa; Arthropoda; Insecta; Hemiptera; Aphididae.
GCCGCCGCGUAUUGAUUUUUUUCACACUAGGGUGUGGACCCCGCUUAUCGUUUCAAACGGCUUUCCUAUUGUCGUUUUUCGGUUCCUCCGUCGCAAAUCGCGACCCGUCGGCCGUCCGUUUAGCAUGAACCGUUUGUUAUNAUCACAAACGUCGUCAAAAAAGACCACUACCAUGACCACCGCCCCGGCCAAGCUGUAUGGCAAGAACCUGAGCGAAUACGACGAGCUCGAUGUCGACCAACUUCUCUCUCAAUUGUCACCAGAAGAAAUCAGCAUUUUGGCCAAAGAAGUUGAUCCAGAUGACAACUUAUUACCACCAUCAGAGCGUUGUAGUUAUGAAUGUAACAAAGAAGCCACCGGACCAUUAAACAGAAAAAAACUGAUCGAACACAUUAAUAAACAGGCUUUAGAAACGCCUGAUCUUCCAGAAAUUAAACCAUAUGUUGCUGGAACUAUACGGGGAAAAAAGUGGGUGGCACCUGAAACCAAUGGUAACACUGAACAUGAAGAUAAAAUUGCCAUUGAUCUUGAUGAUGAAUAUGGUGAUGCAUUAAAUACCGCAUCACAAGAAGAAAUCAUAGAUUUGGCCGCUAUACUAGGAUUCCAUUCAAUGAUGAACCAAGACCAAUACCAUGCUUCACUAUUGAAUAAAGGUCAGCCAGUUGGCUUAGGAUGGGAUGGUGUUACUAAGGCAACACAGCCUAAGGUUUAUCCCCCAGAACCACCCAAUCAAACAGAUCCAGAAGAAAGUAUUAAACGGGUNCGUGAUGAUGAUCCUAAGCUACUUGAUCUCAAUUGGAACAACAUUAAAAAUAUUUCUGAUGAAAAGUUUGAGAGUCUAUUCAAUGCUUUAGUGGAAAAUACUCAUUUAGAAACAUUAAGUUUGGUAAAUGUUGGACUUACUGAUCGGUUAGCAGACAAGCUAGCUGAAGCAUUAGAAAAAAAUUGCACAUUACGUGUUUGCAAUGUGGAAACAAAUUUUAUUAGCCCUGUAGGAAUAAUUCAUUUAGUCAAGUCUUUAUUGAAACAGAGAUCUUUGGAAGAAUUCCGUGCCACUAACCAGAGAUCCCAAGUAUUGGGAAAUAAGAUAGAAAUGGAACUUACUAAAUUGAUUGAACAAAAUCCAACCAUUCUUAGACUUGGUUUACAUUUGGAGUACAAUGAUGCUCGUCAUCGCAUUGCAUCACAUUUACAACGCAAUAUUGACAGGAUAAGAAAAGACACGCCGUUGAAAAUGAAAUUUAGGUUCUUUAGAAAAACACCCCAGAAGCACCGCAAGAACUUGAUCAAAUAAAUGAUCGGCGGAUUACAUUAUUGAGUACGCCAGAGCCGUGUGGGCGCAAACUCCGCAUAAAUUACAUAUUUUGGCUACGUACACUAUUUAGGCCGCUUACGCAGAACUGGUCAUUUUG